This 241-nucleotide ribosomal RNA is filed under the name uncultured bacterium. RNAcentral describes it as "partial 16S ribosomal RNA". It matches the Rfam family "Bacterial small subunit ribosomal RNA", at positions 82 to 334 of the family's 1533-position model. The record is from RNAcentral.
CCUGGUGAGUAAAGUGGCGUACGGGUGAGUAACACGUGGAUCAUCUACCCCUCGGGAGUGGGGAAUAACGCUGGGAAACCGGCGCUAAUACCGCAUAAUCCCGAGAGGGCAAAGGAGCAAUUCGCUUCAGGAGGAGUCCGCGGCCGAUUAGCUAGUUGGCAGGGUAAAAGCCUACCAAGGCAACGAUCGGUAGCCGGCCUGAGAGGGCACACGGCCACACUGGCACUGAAACACGGGCCAG